This 1072-nucleotide long non-coding RNA is filed under the name Equus caballus (horse). RNAcentral's name for it is "lncRNA (ENSECAG00000053476.1)". Lineage: Eukaryota; Metazoa; Chordata; Mammalia; Perissodactyla; Equidae. The record is from RNAcentral.
GAGCACACCCAGUUGCCCUACUGCAGAUGCCACCACCUCUCCACCAAUGCCCCCUACAGUUCACAUAGUCCUCAUGCAGUCCCUGCUCCACAGAGAUGGAAACACUUGCCUUCCUGUAGAGGAUCAAGGCACACAGUCUAUGCAGACCAACAAGUAGCUUGAGGGCUUGCUGUUGGGUGGGGCUGGUCUCUAGGGUGGGCUGCCUGCCCUGGCUGAAAUGGAUUAAAUCUACACUCUGCUGGAUGUGGCAGACCCCUGGGCUAUCAGGCCAGAGGAAGAACUUCAAUGGCAUGUGCUGGUGUCUCUGUCAGCACACAUGUCCUAGAUUACAACAAUGGCCACCACCAAAGUCUCAGUCUCUGGAGAGGUCUCAUCUCUCACCAAAAUGCACCCAGAGCCUACCAAGUAUGUCAACUAUGUCUCCCAGUCCUGAAGAGGUGGCCUUAUGUAGAAGGAGUCUUGGGGAGCCCAGGAGCUCACAUCCCACUGGUCACCAGAGCCAGAUGCUCCAGCAUGGCAACUGACAGAUGAGUGGUGUAGGUCUGUACUUUGGAACCAAACGUGGGACCCCAAAGUGGAGCACACCAAAGUCAACCACUAGGCCACCUGAGUUGGCCUCAAAUUGCUCAUAUUUUUAACUAGCAAAAAUAUAUUUUGGUUUUAGGAUAAAUAUUUCUUUAUGUCGCAUUUUAGUUUCAGUUUUUAUAUCUUCCUUUAUAUUUUUAAAAAGCAAUUUCUUGAAGGUUAAUUCUUCUUCCUACUCUCUGGAUUUUCCUUUCAAGUUUCAUUGUUUUACUUAUUUUGGGCUGUAUUUCAUGAAAGAUGAUUUUACCAUAUAUCUGAUGAUUCUUCUCUGUUCAUAUAUAUGAGUUAACCACUCAAUGGAAGUUCUGAGGAGAGGGAAGAUUUUUUAAAAUAUAGCCAUAUAUGUUUCAAGUGGGGACACUAUUUGAUUGUGAGAAAUUUAAAAUAUUAGGGCCUCUGACUCUCUUCUCUUGAGCUGACCAGCUUCUAGAAAGAGAAAAUUUCAAUAUCUUCUCUAAAGGUUAUUAGCAUGGCUGCCAGUAUUACC